Molecule: ribosomal RNA, 253 nt
Filed under: uncultured bacterium
Lineage: Bacteria
Description: partial 16S ribosomal RNA
Rfam family: Bacterial small subunit ribosomal RNA
Source: RNAcentral
UACGUAGGGUCCGAGCGUUGUCCGGAAUCACUGGGCGUAAAGGGUGCGUAGGCGGGUCUUUAAGUCAGGGGUGAAAUCCUGGAGCUCAACUCCAGAACUGCCUUUGAUACUGAAGAUCUUGAGUUCGGGAGAGGUGAGUGGAACUGCGAGUGUAGAGGUGAAAUUCGUAGAUAUUCGCAAGAACACCAGUGGCGAAGGCGGCUCACUGGCCCGAUACUGACGCUGAGGCACGAAAGCGUGGGGAGCAAACAGG